This 253-nucleotide ribosomal RNA is filed under the name uncultured bacterium. Its description in RNAcentral is "partial 16S ribosomal RNA". It matches the Rfam family "Bacterial small subunit ribosomal RNA", at positions 524 to 776 of the family's 1533-position model. The record is from RNAcentral.
UACAGAGGUCUCAAGCGUUGUUCGGAUUCAUUGGGCGUAAAGGGUGCGUAGGUGGCGCGGUAAGUCGGGUGUGAAAUCUCGGAGCUUAACUCCGAAAUUGCAUUCGAUACUGCCGUGCUCGAGGACUGGAGAGGAGACUGGAAUUCCUGGUGUAGCGGUGAAAUGCGCAGAUAUCAGGGGGAACACCGGUGGCGAAGGCGGGUCUCUGGGCCGAUACUGACGCUGAGGAGCGAAAGCGUGGGGAGCGAACAGG